This 253-nucleotide ribosomal RNA is filed under the name uncultured bacterium. RNAcentral's name for it is "partial 16S ribosomal RNA". It matches the Rfam family "Bacterial small subunit ribosomal RNA", at positions 524 to 776 of the family's 1533-position model. The record is from RNAcentral.
AACGUAGGUGGCGAGCGUUAUCCGGAUUUACUGGGCGUAAAGGGUGUGCAGGCGGGCUGUUAAGUGGUGUCUGAAAUAUCCCGGCUCAACCGGGAGAGGUUAUGCCAGACUGGCAGUCUAGAGAGCGAGAGAGGGACGUGGAAUUCCGGGUGUAGUGGUGAAAUGCGUAGAGAUCCGGAGGAACCCCAGAGGCGAAGGCGGCGUCCUGGCUCGCAUCUGACGCUCAGACACGACAGCAUGGGGAGCGAACGGG